Molecule: non-coding RNA, 1085 nt
Organism: Vicugna pacos (alpaca)
Lineage: Eukaryota; Metazoa; Chordata; Mammalia; Artiodactyla; Camelidae
Source: RefSeq, a predicted model, not a curated record
AACAGUAGCUCUAACCCGUUUUCCCUCUUACUGUCAUUUCUAUGUGCUUCUCUAUCUGGGAGCAAAAGAUGUAAACCAGAGUUGACAAGAAAUUCAUCCUGUGAUGUGCCCUCCUGGACAGACCUGCCUGGACUGUAUGUUUUCUCCCUGCCCACGGAGGCAAUGCUCUGGUGAUGGCGAGAGCCAGGCGUGACUCCCGACAAGAUGGUACCACGUUCAGAGCCUCAGACAGGAGCACAAAAUACGUCUCAUAUUGACUCAGCCCUGAUGCUUCAAGACUGGGCUUUAUCAUAAAAUGCAGAGGCUGUGCCUGGAGCUGAACGACGGUGUCAACUAGACAUAAAAAUAACAAUUCCCUAAGAGCAAACGUCCAGCAGAGAAGAGCAAACCAGACCUGGUCUCUCGCAAGGUGUACACGUCCCCACAGACGGAGAUCUCGCGCCAGACGCCGGGCUGGGACUCCUCCGUGAAGCCCCCUCUGGGAUGCAUCACCAGGACGCCAUUUGUCGUGAGCCCAUCCAUGUGGCCGUCGGGGUUUUUCCACUUUGCUGCCUUUUCCUGGAGAGAAAAAUCGUGCAAGGUUAUUAUGUUCAAUAUGAAGGGAUUCUGGAAUCUCUUUAAAAUAUUGGGUAGGGGCAGAGAAGAGGCAAGUGAGGAAUCUUCAUUUCCUACUUAAAGCUAAUAAUAUCAGAAGGGUAAAAUAUGCAAUGAGUCUGACAGAAUGAAAGAAGGGCAAAAAUGGCUGAAGUGGUCACGCUACACGCAGGAACCAGCUCACCCACAUCAAGACCUCGUCCGAGGCAGGUGAUGUGCCCAGAAGCGGAGGGCAAGACAGAGUGAACCUGGCUUCCUAGAUGUCGUGAACCACCGCACCAGCCACCCUGCUGCUGGCCUUCCUUGGCACUUCCUGUAACACGGGAUGGUAGAAAAAAAGCGAGAUUUUAAAGGAAGCCAGCAAACAAAAGAAUGAUUUCCCCCAUUCUUACCCAGCACCAGGGACUGGUUUUCUCUACUAAGUGACUCCACCAGACUCACAUUCACAGCACGGAACAAGGAUAGCCCCAGCCCAGACAGAGCGACCCAGU